UACGGAGGAUGCGAGCGUUAUCCGGAUUUAUUGGGUUUAAAGGGUGCGUAGGCGGCUUAGUAAGUCAGCGGUGAAAUUUUGCAGCUUAACUGUAACAGUGCCGUUGAUACUGCCAGGCUAGGAUUUGGUUGCUGUGGGUGGAAUGUGUGGUGUAGCGGUGAAAUGCUUAGAUAUCACACAGAAUAUCGAUUGCGAAGGCAGCUCACAAAGACCAAGAAUUGACGCUGAGGCACGAAAGUAGUGGGGAGUCAAACA
This 255-nucleotide ribosomal RNA is filed under the name uncultured prokaryote. RNAcentral's name for it is "partial 16S ribosomal RNA". It matches the Rfam family "Bacterial small subunit ribosomal RNA", at positions 524 to 774 of the family's 1533-position model. The record is from RNAcentral.